This 403-nucleotide ribosomal RNA is filed under the name bacterium. RNAcentral's name for it is "partial 16S ribosomal RNA". It matches the Rfam family "Bacterial small subunit ribosomal RNA", at positions 355 to 776 of the family's 1533-position model. The record is from RNAcentral.
UGGGGAAUAUUGCACAAUGGAGGGAACCCUGAUGCAGCGACGCCGCGUGAACGAAGAAGGCUUUCGAGUCGUAAAGUUCUUUUAUAUGGGAAGAUAAUGACGGUACUAUAAGAAAAAGCCCCGGCUAACUACGUGCCAGCAGCCGCGGUAAUACGUAGGGGGCUAGCGUUGUCCGGAAUCACUGGGCGUAAAGGGUUCGCAGGCGGAAAUGCAAGUCAGGUGUAAAAGGCAGUAGCUUAACUACUGUAAGCAUUUGAAACUGCAUAUCUUGAGAAGAGUAGAGGUAAGUGGAAUUUUUAGUGUAGCGGUGAAAUGCGUAGAUAUUAAAAAGAAUACCGGUGGCGAAGGCGGCUUACUGGGCUCAUUCUGACGCUGAGGAACGAAAGCGUGGGUAGCAAACAGG